This 1282-nucleotide long non-coding RNA is filed under the name Anas platyrhynchos platyrhynchos (common mallard). RNAcentral describes it as "lncRNA (ENSAPLG00000024350.1)". The record is from RNAcentral. Lineage: Eukaryota; Metazoa; Chordata; Aves; Anseriformes; Anatidae.
AUGUUUGAGGAACUGCCUCCAGGCUGCCAGAGAAGCGAAGCAGCACGAAGCCUACUCCAUGCCCAUGAAUUUGCUGCCAGGGCUCCUGCAAACAUGUGGAAGAAUCUCAGUUUCUGUGGGAAGAAUCUGAAUCAAUAUCGCAAAGGCUUAACUCUUCUGUCCCUGCCCACUGCUGUCAUUAACUGGAGGACAAGAAUCCCCAGUGGUAAGCAAGAACAACAAUUUAGUAUCUGUACUGCCUCAUAUUCUGGAACUAACAAUUGUGCUCUUAGUAAUGCAUAACACCCUCAAACCCUCAUGCUUUGUCAUCCCCUUGAAAUGUCCUUUCAGAUAAAUUUUUCACCCCUGAAUAUAACAUAAUUGACAGUAUUGUUAUUUGAAAUGUCUACAUUUGACUCCAGUGUUAAGACCUCAGAUAUAAAUGAGGCACUUCCAACUAUUUUCUCAGAACUCUUGUUCCACAUCACUGAUCUGCAUUCUCAUUAGGAUCAUACAUAGGUUUCAAACACAGAGCCACAGCUGCAGAUAGAUGAAUUAGAAUCUGAAAAGCCUGAUCUGCAAAACUGUUGAACACACAAAACUUAAGCAAGUCCUAUAGAAAUCUCUGAAACUCAGAAUACACAGGGAAAAUUGUACACCUCAAGAAAGAAAGCUAAAAAUCAAAACAAAACAGAAAAGAGAAAGAGAGAAGGUUUAAGUCAUAAUUAAAAUUUUAAAAGAUAUUAAAAAAUUCAUAUAGAGUAUUAAUCUAUUGAGUUGAACUGGAUUUCCAUAACACUUUACACUUUUCUUUCUUAUAGUGGUCUCACUUGUUAACAAGUCUUGUACACUACCAAAAUGAAAGAAUCUUAUGUAACUGAGUAUGUCAUUUGUUCUUCUGCCUUCUUGCAGAUUUCUGCUAGAAAGCACGUUUCUUCUACUCUUUCCUUGUUUGAGAAUUCUUAGGCUUGUAUGAAGCUAAAAUAUAUUCAAGAAGAUCGAUGGGAAUAGAUGUUUCCAGUUCUGAAUACAACCUUUUGUCUCAAAGAUACAUUUUAUUUAUGCAGAUUUAGCACUAAUGCUCUAAAUACUUUUAACUUCUAGAUACACUUUGAAGUCAGGCUGAGGGGGUUGGGAUUGUUCAGCUUCAAGAAAAGAAGGCUUUGGUGAAACCUUAUAGCAGUCUUCCAGUACCUAAAGGAGGCCUACAGGAAAGCUGGGAGAGGGACUCUUUGUCAAGGAGCGCAGUGAUAGGACGAGGAGUAAUGGCUUUAAACCAAAACAGGGGAGAUUUAGAUUCGAU